CUGAAGUCUGUCGACAGCUCCUCUCUAGGUAGAGGAUAAAAGUCCAGAGACGUGACAUUCGGGUUCUGGCCAGCGUUUUUAAAAGUGGUCCACGGCGGUGGGGGUCGAUGAGGCAGACCUGAGAGACCGGCAGUGAAUCAGCAACCAGUGUCUUGCAGGUUGAAACCAGGUGAUUGGAUCCUGAUCAAAGUACUCCAAAGGAAAAAUUGGAGUUCACCGAGGUGUGGUGAGUAGCACUUGAUAAGGACCUUCCCACCUUGGUGAACUCCAAUUUUUCCUUUGGAGUACUUUGAUCAGGAUCCAAUCACCUGGUUUCAACCUGCAAGACACUGGAGAGAUGUCACUUGGCAGUUGGUUGUUUAGAACAAUCUCUUUAUUUUCAAGUAAUUUAGUCAUCCAUUCGGCUAGUGUAGUUUCUCUUAUUGACUUAUCUAUAGGCUCACUUGUAAUUGG
Oreochromis aureus is the source of this 453-nucleotide long non-coding RNA. The record is from Ensembl. Lineage: Eukaryota; Metazoa; Chordata; Actinopteri; Cichliformes; Cichlidae.